GCAGAGAUGCUUUGGUGCCUUCGGGAACUCUGAGACAGGUGCUGCAUGGCUGUCGUCAGCUCGUGUUGUGAAAUGUUGGGUUAAGUCCCGCAACGAGCGCAACCCUUAUCCUUUGUUGCCAGCGGUUCGGCCGGGAACUCAAAGGAGACUGCCAGUGAUAAACUGGAGGAAGGUGGGGAUGACGUCAAGUCAUCAUGGCCCUUACGAGUAGGGCUACACACGUGCUACAAUGGCAUAUACAAAGAGAAGCGACCUCGCGAGAGCAAGCGGACCUCAUAAAGUAUGUCGUAGUCCGGAUUGGAGUCUGCAACUCGACUCCAUGAAGUCGGAAUCGCUAGUAAUCGUAGAUCAGAAUGCUACGGUGAAUACGUUCCCGGGCCUUGUACACACCGCCCGUCACACCAUGGGAGUGGGUUGCAAAAGAAGUAGGUAGCUUAACCUUCGGGAGGGCGCUUACCACUUUGUGAUUCAUGACUGGGGUGAAGUCGUAACAAGGUAACCGUAGGGGAACCUGCGGUUGGAUCACCUCCUUACCUAAAGA
RNAcentral lists this ribosomal RNA (541 nucleotides) under Serratia marcescens. Its description in RNAcentral is "bacterial SSU rRNA". It matches the Rfam family "Bacterial small subunit ribosomal RNA", at positions 1000 to 1533 of the family's 1533-position model. Lineage: Bacteria; Pseudomonadati; Pseudomonadota; Gammaproteobacteria; Enterobacterales; Yersiniaceae. The record is from RNAcentral.